This is a long non-coding RNA of Protopterus annectens (West African lungfish), 350 nucleotides long. RefSeq lists it as uncharacterized. The transcript has 3 exons. Lineage: Eukaryota; Metazoa; Chordata; Ceratodontiformes; Protopteridae. The record is from RefSeq and is a predicted model, not a curated record.
GAAGCCCUUAUUGUACUUAUUAAUUGUCUGAGAUAGUCACUGCCAGCUGAAAAAGAAAUAUAGCUAAUGGGAGCAUUUGAAUUCUAUGGUUUCACCUUGAUUAUUCACCAGAGCAAAGAGUGAAAUUAUCCUGAGGGCUCUUGAGGAUUCCGAACUCUAGCAAAAGAUACAACUACAAGGGAAAAUGUGUCUACCAGGCAGAAAAUGUCACGCUAGAGAACUUCAGUCAAGAAGGCUCUUGUGCCACAGCUUCAGGUGAUGAUGAUAUAAGUGAUGGCAUUGGCUUUCUACAGUUGCUGGACCCGCACUAAAUCAAUCUGCAAUCCAUCCUAUCACAGCUUCAUGCCUAU